RNAcentral lists this non-coding RNA (349 nucleotides) under Anaerolineae bacterium. RNAcentral describes it as "T-box sequence". It matches the Rfam family "T-box leader". Rfam says of the family: Uncharged tRNA acts as the effector for transcription antitermination of genes in the T-box leader family. The record is from RNAcentral. Lineage: Bacteria; Bacillati; Chloroflexota; Anaerolineae.
UAAACGACGAGGAUUCGGAAUAGUAACCCCCGGAACGAGUCUCAGAGAGCUGGCUCUAGAGCUGAAAAGCCGGCGUCAACGUCGGGGGUGAAUGGGCCGAGGAGUUGUUCAGGUGAACGGCUGAAACAUAAUGGCUUAUUAGCCUGGAUCGGAGGUGCCACCGUUAUCAGGGCAUAGGUCUCGUUUCGGUUGAAUAUUGUUCUCUGGAGAUCCAGCGGCAAGAACGAUCGGAACCGGACUGAAAUGAGUGAGGCUGGCUAAUACCACACACGGCGCCAUCACCGGCGCUUUUUUAUUGCUAGCCUAAAGUGGGUGGCACCACGGGAGAAUGAACGCUCUCGUCCCAGCA